Molecule: ribosomal RNA, 488 nt
Filed under: uncultured bacterium
Lineage: Bacteria
Description: bacterial SSU rRNA
Rfam family: Bacterial small subunit ribosomal RNA
Source: RNAcentral
GAUGAACGCUAGCGGGAGGCUUAACACAUGCAAGUCGAGGGGCAGCAUAGGGUAGCAAUACUCUGAUGGGCGACCGGCAAACGGGUGAGUAACGCGUAUGCAACCUACCCUGUGCAGGGGGAUAACCCGGAGAAAUUCGGACUAAUAUCCCGUAAUAAUAUCCGGAGGCAUCUUUGGAUAUUUAAAGUUCCGACGGUACGGGAUGGGCAUGCGUAACAUUAACUGGUUGGUAAGGUAACGGCUUACCAAGGCUAUGAUGUUUAGGGGUCCUGAGAGGGUGGUCCCCCACACUGGUACUGAGACACGGACCAGACUCCUACGGGAGGCAGCAGUGAGGAAUAUUGGUCAAUGGGCGCAAGCCUGAACCAGCCAUCCCGCGUGCAGGAAGACGGCCCUAUGGGUUGUAAACUGCUUUUCCAGGGAGAGAAACUUACGCACGUGUUGCGUGACUGACGGUACCCUGGGAAUAAGCAUCGGCUAACUCCGUG